Molecule: ribosomal RNA, 789 nt
Filed under: uncultured bacterium
Lineage: Bacteria
Description: bacterial SSU rRNA
Rfam family: Bacterial small subunit ribosomal RNA
Source: RNAcentral
AGAGUUUGAUCCUGGCUCAGAACGAACGUUGGCGGCGUGGAUUAGGCAUGCAAGUCGAACGAAUCCCAGUUGUGUAGCAAUACAUGACUGGGGGAAGUGGCGAAAGGGGCAGUAAGGCGUGGGUAACCUACCCUGGGGAUGGGCAUAGCCGUUCUAACGAGCGGGUAAUACCCAGCGAUCCGGCCGAGGGGACAUCCUCUUGCCGGGAAAUGAGAUUCGCCUCGGGAGGGGCUCACGUGCUAUUAGCUAGUUGGUGAGGUAACGGCUCACCAAGGCAAAGAUGGCUAGCGGGUGUGAGAGCACGACCCGCGCCACUGGCACUGAGACACUGGCCAGACACCUACGGGUGGCUGCAGUCGAGGAUCUUCGUCAAUGGGCGCAAGCCUGAACGAGCGACGCCGCGUGUGCGAUGAAGGCCUUCGGGUUGUAAAGCACUGUCGAGGGGGAUCAAGGCCGCAAGGCUUGAGCGAUCCCUGGAGGAAGCACGGGCUAAGUUCGUGCCAGCAGCCGCGGUAAGACGAACCGUGCGAACGUUGUUCGGAAUCACUGGGCUUAAAGGGCGCGUAGGCGGCGGGCGAGGUCGGGGGUGAAAUCCCACAGCUUAACUGUGGAAGAGCCUUCGAUACCGGCUCGCUGGAGGAAGGUAGGGGUGCGCGGAACUUCUGGUGGAGCGGUGAAAUGCGUUGAUAUCAGAAGGAACGCCGGCGGCGAAAGCGGCGCACUGGACCUUUUCUGACGCUGAGGCGCGAAAGCCAGGGGAGCAAACGGGAUUAGAUACCCCGGUAGUCC